CGCACUGCUUGUUCCCAGUUGUUGCAACAAGUUUGCAACAAGCUGUUAACAAAUUUUAACGGGCUUGAUGGCAUUAUCAGAUUUGUUACAAGGUUGUGCUAACAAGUCUGAUACAGUCAUGAUAAACAAGAAUGUUACAAGGUUGAUGACACAAGGUUGUAAAAAUACUGCCAUAUCAUGACUGUAUCGGACUUGUUGGAACAACCUUGCAACAAGUCUGAUAAUAUCAACAAGGUUGUUACAAAUUGUUGACAGCUUGUUCCAAACUUGUUGACAACUUGUGACAAGCAGUGCG
Molecule: non-coding RNA, 295 nt
Organism: Paramuricea clavata
Lineage: Eukaryota; Metazoa; Cnidaria; Anthozoa; Malacalcyonacea; Plexauridae
Source: the annotation of a GenBank genome assembly